GAUGAACGCUGGCGGCGUGCCUAAUACAUGCAAGUCGAGCGAACAGACGAGGAGCUUGCUCCUCUGACGUUAGCGGCGGACGGGUGAGUAACACGUGGAUAACCUACCUAUAAGACUGGGAUAACUUCGGGAAACCGGAGCUAAUACCGGAUAAUAUAUUGAACCGCAUGGUUCAAUAGUGAAAGACGGUUUUGCUGUCACUUAUAGAUGGAUCCGCGCCGCAUUAGCUAGUUGGUAAGGUAACGGCUUACCAAGGCAACGAUGCGUAGCCGACCUGAGAGGGUGAUCGGCCACACUGGAACUGAGACACGGUCCAGACUCCUACGGGAGGCAGCAGUAGGGAAUCUUCCGCAAUGGGCGAAAGCUUGACGGAGCAACGCCGCGUGAGUGAUGAAGGUCUUCGGAUCGUAAAACUCUGUUAUUAGAGAAGAACAAAUGUGUAAGUAACUAUGCACGUCUUGACGGUACCUAAUCAGAAAGCCACGGCUAACUACGUG
Molecule: ribosomal RNA, 497 nt
Filed under: uncultured bacterium
Lineage: Bacteria
Description: partial 16S ribosomal RNA
Rfam family: Bacterial small subunit ribosomal RNA
Source: RNAcentral